UAGUGAGUUUGAUCCUGGCUCAGAACGAACGCUGGCGGCAGGCUUAACACAUGCAAGUCGAACGGGCGUCGCAAGACGUCAGUGGCAGACGGGUGAGUAACACGUGGGAACGUCCCCCUCGGUUCGGAAUAACUCAGGGAAACUUGAGCUAAUACCGUAUACGUCCGAGAGGAGAAAGAUUUAUCGCCGAGGGAUCGGCCCGCGUCUGAUUAGCUAGUUGGUGGGGUAAUGGCUCACCAAGGCGACGAUCAGUAGCUGGUCUGAGAGGAUGAUCAGCCACACUGGGACUGAGACACGGCCCAGACUCCUACGGGGAGGCAGCAGUGGGAAUCUUAGA
RNAcentral lists this ribosomal RNA (337 nucleotides) under uncultured Alphaproteobacteria bacterium. Its description in RNAcentral is "bacterial SSU rRNA". It matches the Rfam family "Bacterial small subunit ribosomal RNA", at positions 1 to 368 of the family's 1533-position model. The record is from RNAcentral. Lineage: Bacteria; Pseudomonadati; Pseudomonadota; Alphaproteobacteria.